UACAGAGGGGGCAAGCGUUGUUCGGAAUUACUGGGCGUAAAGGGCUCGUAGGCGGCCAACUAAGUCGGAUGUGAAAUCCCCAGGCUUAACCUGGGAACUGCAUCCGAUACUGGAUGGCUUGAAUCCGGGAGAGGGAUGCAGAAUUCCAGGUGUAGCGGUGAAAUGCGUAGAUAUCAGGAGGAACACCGAUGGCGAAGGCAGGUCUCUGGGCCACUACUGACGCUGAGAAGCGAAAGCAUGGGGAGCGAACAGG
Molecule: ribosomal RNA, 253 nt
Filed under: uncultured bacterium
Lineage: Bacteria
Description: partial 16S ribosomal RNA
Rfam family: Bacterial small subunit ribosomal RNA
Source: RNAcentral